Non-coding RNA from Heterocephalus glaber (naked mole-rat), 1412 nucleotides. The record is from RefSeq and is a predicted model, not a curated record. NCBI's taxonomy places the organism in Eukaryota, Metazoa, Chordata, Mammalia, Rodentia, Bathyergidae.
UCUCCUUUUUUUUGUUGCACCUCCUCUUUCACUCUGAUUCUGUGGUGUCAGCAGUCCAUCAUAAUCACCCAUCCUCCUGCCUAAGAAAUGGGCUUACAGCCUGAGCUGAUCAGUUUCCUUGCCCCUUGGAUCUGAAGCCAAAUGGAUCAGCUUGAGACUGAGCAGGGAAAUCAGUAUCCUUCCCCAUGAGGAAGAAAGCCAUUUUCUGCUGGUCACAUGUACCAGUAAAUGCCUUAAGCUUCUCCCAUGGGGAGUUCUGUCACAACCAGAGGAUUGUGACUAAUAGAGGGAGCGCGUGCACUGUCAUCAGUUGCCUGCUGGUUUGUAUCAGUUCCCAACACUAUGGCUAGGUUCUAGAGUAUACCCAGGAAAAGGAGCCAUGGAAAUGAAAGGAAAGAGAGAUCCUUGCUGUUGGUGAUAGUGACAUUGUCCAAGAGGAGGAGGAGGAGAGAUCGACUUGGGAAAGACGCUCAGGCUGCAAAGAAGCCGGAAAGAUUCCCCAGAAAACACCUAGCACAGCCCAAAUCUUCACUUGGGACAUCUGAGACAUGGGGAGCCACCACUAUCAAGUUAUGGUAGAUGCAGCAGAACAGAAGAGUAACACAGUCCCUCCAACUACCCAGCACAAGCAUGAACAACAAUGGCCUCCCUCUGUGAGGGAGAACCCCCACUGAUAUCUAGUAUUCAUGACAACAUUGUUCUUGGAAACACAGUGGACAACACUCACUGAGCAUGAUUUUUUCCAUGGCAUCUUUAGCCCUGACACAUGUGAUCCCACAGGAUCACAAGGUCCCUUUGCAGUCAGUGAUAUAAUUAUCCCCAUUAUACAGAUGGGGGAAACUGAGGCCAGAGAGGUAACACAGCUGAUAAGUAGCAGAGCUGGGAUUUGAACUCAGGCUGUUUGAUUAUGGAUCUUGGGGUUCUAGCCACUGGAUUAUGCACCCUCCUCUGAAAUCUCACAUGGCCAUGAAUGGCAUUUCAGCCCUCUGUGAAGCCCAGCCGUGGCUGCUGAGGUCUCAUUCUUCCUUACCCCCGGAGUAUGCUCUCAAUAAUCCUCAUCGCCUUAAGUGCUGGGAUUUUGCCAUAGUUCCCUUAAUAUAGAAGCAUCAAACCAACAAAAGUUUCAAGGAGAUGGCUUGUGAGAAGCAAAUAGAGUGAUAGACCCUCCAGAAGAGGUUUAACAGCCCUGUUUCUGCCCUUCUGAAUCCUUAGAAGAAAUCCAAGCUGAGAGCCAGAGAGCCAGAGUGGGUGCCUUCGCAGCAACCUUGAUUUGCUAAUCUCCUUCUGGUCAUCAAAAGGGCCUCUCUGAAGCCAGCAAAGUCCUUGGUCCAAGACAGGGGUCAGCAAACUACAGCUCAUCAGCCAAAUAUGAUCUGCUGCCUGUUUGGGGAGUAAAGUUUCAUUGGAAUACA